RNAcentral lists this ribosomal RNA (503 nucleotides) under uncultured bacterium. Its description in RNAcentral is "bacterial SSU rRNA". It matches the Rfam family "Bacterial small subunit ribosomal RNA", at positions 17 to 518 of the family's 1533-position model. The record is from RNAcentral.
UUAUGGCUCAGGAUGAACGCUGGCGGCGUGCUUAACACAUGCAAGUCGAACGGAGUUUUUAAACGGAAGUCCUCGGAUGGAAGUUUAGAAACUUAGUGGCGGACGGGUGAGUAACGCGUGGGUAACCUGCCUCAUACAGGGGGAUAACAGUCGGAAACGAUUGCUAAAACCGCAUAACAUAGCGAAACCGCAUGAUUUUGCUAUCAAAUAUUUAUAGGUAUGAGAUGGGCCCGCGUCUGAUUUAGCUAGUUGGUGGGGUAAUGGCCUACCAAGGCGACGAUCAGUAGCCGGCUUGAGAGAGUGACCGGCCACAUUGGGACUGAGACACGGCCCAAACUCCUACGGGAGGCAGCAGUGGGGAAUAUUGGACAAUGGGGGAAACCCUGAUCCAGCGAACCGCCGCGUGAGUGAAGAAGUAUUUCGGUAUGUAAAGCUCUAUCAGCAGGGAAGAUAAUGACAGUACCUGACUAAGAAGCCCCGGCUAACUACGUGCCAGCCGCUGC